Molecule: ribosomal RNA, 562 nt
Filed under: uncultured bacterium
Lineage: Bacteria
Description: partial 16S ribosomal RNA
Rfam family: Bacterial small subunit ribosomal RNA
Source: RNAcentral
UGGGGAAUAUUGGACAAUGGGCGCAAGCCUGAUCCAGCCAUGCCGCGUGAGUGAUGAAGGCCUUAGGGUUGUAAAGCUCUUUCGACGGGGACGAUAAUGACGGUACCCGUAGAAGAAGCCCCGGCUAACUUCGUGCCAGCAGCCGCGGUAAUACGAAGGGGGCUAGCGUUGCUCGGAAUCACUGGGCGUAAAGGGCGCGUAGGCGGACGUUUAAGUCAGAGGUGAAAGCCCAGGGCUCAACCCUGGAAUGGCCUUUGAUACUGGACGUCUUGAGUCUGGUAGAGGUUGGUGGAACUGCGAGUGUAGAGGUGAAAUUCGUAGAUAUUCGCAAGAACACCGGUGGCGAAGGCGGCCAACUGGACCAGAACUGACGCUGAGGCGCGAAAGCGUGGGGAGCAAAACAGGAUUAGAUACCCUGGUAGUCCACGCCGUAAAACGAUGGAUGCUAGCCGUUGGCGGGUUUACCCGUCAGUGGCGCAGCUAACGCGUUAAGCAUCCCGCCUGGGGAGUACGGCCGCAAGGUUAAAACUCAAAUGAAUUGACGGGGUCAUAGCUGUUUCCU